AUACUUACCUGGCAGGGGAGACACCAUGAUCAUGAAGGUGGUUUUNCCAGGGUGAGGCUCAUCCAUUGCACUCCAGGUGUGCUGACCCCUGCGAUUUCCCCAAAUGCGGGAAACUCGACUGCAUAAUUUGUGGUAGUGGGGGACUGCGUUCACGCUUUCCCCUG
This 164-nucleotide small nuclear RNA is filed under the name Salvator merianae (Argentine black and white tegu). RNAcentral describes it as "U1 spliceosomal RNA (ENSSMRG00000005253.1)". It matches the Rfam family "U1 spliceosomal RNA". From Rfam's summary of the family: U1 is a small nuclear RNA (snRNA) component of the spliceosome (involved in pre-mRNA splicing). Its 5' end forms complementary base pairs with the 5' splice junction, thus defining the 5' donor site of an intron. The record is from RNAcentral. Lineage: Eukaryota; Metazoa; Chordata; Lepidosauria; Squamata; Teiidae.